AAUGAGCAGGCAUUGUGGGCUUUCAGAAGGAGGAGGCAGGAAGACGUGGAGAGCGACUGAGGUCGGCCGUGGAGGAUGUGCUGGGCAGGCGAAGAGAACAAAGUCUGGCAGAGCAAGUGUUCCUCACUGGGUUCUGGCCGCGCCUGGACAUCAAAACGAUGGUCACAUACACGAGUGUCUCAUCCCACCUCUGUCUUCUAAACAUUUUUAUAUCGGAAGUUCCCAGUCAAUAAAUUCUAGCACGCUUCCUAAGAAGGGAUACCAGCCGGCAGCCAGGGAGAUGGCUUGCUUGGUGGUUAAGACGGCCAGAGUUGAGUCUCCAGUGUCCACAUCAGAUGAUUUACAAGCCAGUAUCUCCAGUUCCACGGACUCCCUGCCCUCUUACCACCCACGUUGUGGCUCAGUACUUUCUCUGACUCCAGUUCCGUGGGAUCCAGCGUCCUCUUCUGGCCUCUUCAGUGCCCCACCCCCACCCCACCAAACCGGAACCACCACCACCCGCAGUCUCAGAACUUCAAAGAGAACUGUUACAAUUUCUCUCCCAUCACUGCUUGGGAAGCCAACUGCGGAACAGGAGGCAACAAUCUAUUUUGCCUAAGUUCUUUUCCUAUAUAUGUGUGCUCUCAGCAUCUGCUCCAGCUGCUGUGUCUUCUGCUUGCUACACUGUGUCCCUGCCAUGAUGGUUGUCUCGCUAACUCUCUGGAAACACAGCCCAAAUAAACUCUUAUGUAAGUUGCCUUU
Long non-coding RNA from Mus musculus (house mouse), 741 nucleotides. RefSeq annotates it as predicted gene, 40685. The transcript has 4 exons. NCBI's taxonomy places the organism in Eukaryota, Metazoa, Chordata, Mammalia, Rodentia, Muridae. The record is from RefSeq and is a predicted model, not a curated record.